This 28-nucleotide small RNA is filed under the name Bombyx mori (domestic silkworm). RNAcentral's name for it is "ovarian small RNA-37134". Lineage: Eukaryota; Metazoa; Arthropoda; Insecta; Lepidoptera; Bombycidae. The record is from RNAcentral.
UUCCAGUACGCGGUUGCCACUCGAGAGC